Molecule: unclassified non-coding RNA, 405 nt
Filed under: soil metagenome
Description: partial contains 5.8S ribosomal RNA, internal transcribed spacer 2, and large subunit ribosomal RNA
Rfam family: 5.8S ribosomal RNA (bases 1-121)
Source: RNAcentral
GAUGAAGAACGUAGCGAAAUGCGAUAAGUAAUGUGAAUUGCAGAAUUCAGUGAAUCAUCGAAUCUUUGAACGCACCUUGCGCCCUUAGGCCAUUCCGAAGGGCAUGCCUGUUUGAGUAUCAUGAACACCUCAACUCUUUAUGGUUUUCCAUGAUGAGCUUGGACUCUGGGGGUUUUGCUGGCUCACAGUCGGCUCCUCUAAAAUGAAUCAGCUUACCAGUGUUUGGUGGGUAUCAUGGGUGUGAUAACUAUCUACGCUUGUGGUUUUUCCACCAGGUAACCUUCAGCAGUGGAGGUUCGCUGGAGCUCAUAGAUGUCUCUCCUCAGUGAGGACAGCCCUUUGAAUGUUUGAUCUCAAAUCAGGUAGGACUACCCGCUGAACUUAAGCAUAUCAAUAAGCGGAGGA